AGCAGCCGCGGUAAUUCCAGCUCCAAUAGCGUAUAUUAAAGUUGUUGCAGUUAAAAAGCUCGUAGUUGAAUUUCGGGAUCAAUUAAUUAGUCGUGCCUCUGGUACGUACUGGUUUUAUUGGUUUCUCCCUUCUGACGAACCAUGAUGUCAUUAAUUUGGUGUCGUGGAGAAUCAGGACUGUUACUUUGAAAAAUUAGAGUGUUUAAAGCAAGCUAACGCUUGAAUACAUUAGCAUGGAAUAAUGAAAUAGGACGUUUGAUCCCAUUUUGUGGUUUCUAGGAUCGACGUAAUGAUUAAUAGGGAUAGUUGGGGGCAUUAGUAUUCAAUUGUCAGAGGUGAAAUUCUUGGAUUUAUUG
This 356-nucleotide ribosomal RNA is filed under the name uncultured Glomeromycotina. RNAcentral describes it as "SSU rRNA". It matches the Rfam family "Eukaryotic small subunit ribosomal RNA", at positions 569 to 931 of the family's 1831-position model. Lineage: Eukaryota; Fungi; Glomeromycota. The record is from RNAcentral.